UACGAAGGGGGCUAGCGUUGUUCGGAAUUACUGGGCGUAAAGCGCACGUAGGCGGAUAUUUAAGUCAGGGGUGAAAUCCCAGAGCUCAACUCUGGAACUGCCUUUGAUACUGGGUAUCUUGAGUAUGGAAGAGGUAAGUGGAAUUGCGAGUGUAGAGGUGAAAUUCGUAGAUAUCGGGAGGAACACCGGUGGCGAAGGCGGCGAUCUGGGUAGAUACUGACGCUGAGGUGCGAAAGCGUGGGGAGCAAACAGG
This 253-nucleotide ribosomal RNA is filed under the name uncultured bacterium. RNAcentral describes it as "partial 16S ribosomal RNA". It matches the Rfam family "Bacterial small subunit ribosomal RNA", at positions 524 to 776 of the family's 1533-position model. The record is from RNAcentral.